GGCCCAACUGAUUGAACGUGCUUGCACGGACUUGACGUUGGUUUACCAGCGAGUGGCGGACGGGUGAGUAACACGUAGGUAACCUGCCCCAAAGCGGGGGAUAACAUUUGGAAACAGAUGCUAAUACCGCAUAAUAAUUUGAAUCGCAUAAUUCAAAUUUAAAAGAUGGCUUCGGCUAUCACUUUGGGAUGGACCUGCGGCGCAUUAGCUUGUUGGUAGGGUAACGGCCUACCAAGGCUGUGAUGCGUAGCCGAGUUGAGAGACUGAUCGGCCACAAUGGAACUGAGACACGGUCCAUACUCCUACGGGAGGCAGCAGUAGGGAAUCUUCCACAAUGGGCGCAAGCCUGAUGGAGCAACACCGCGUGAGUGAAGAAGGGUUUCGGCUCGUAAAGCUCUGUUGUUAGAGAAGAACGUGCGUGAGAGCAACUGUUCACGCAGUGACGGUAUCUAACCAGAAAGUCACGGCUAACUACGUGCCAGCAGCCGCGGUAAUACGUAGGUGGCAAGCGUUAUCCGGAUUUAUUGGGCGUAAAGCGAGCGCAGGCGGUUUGAUAAGUCUGAUGUGAAAGCCUUUGGCUUAACCAAAGAAGUGCAUCGGAAACUGUCAGACUUGAGUGCAGAAGAGGACAGUGGACUCCAUGUGUAGCGGUGGAUGCGUAGAUAUAUGGAAGAACACCAGUGGCGAAGGCGGCUGU
This 697-nucleotide ribosomal RNA is filed under the name uncultured Bacilli bacterium. RNAcentral's name for it is "bacterial SSU rRNA". It matches the Rfam family "Bacterial small subunit ribosomal RNA", at positions 45 to 728 of the family's 1533-position model. The record is from RNAcentral. Lineage: Bacteria; Bacillati; Bacillota; Bacilli.